UCAACGGCCCUCUUUAGGGCCACAAUUACUAUCAAAUUCUCCCAA
Molecule: non-coding RNA, 45 nt
Organism: Ancylostoma duodenale
Lineage: Eukaryota; Metazoa; Nematoda; Chromadorea; Rhabditida; Ancylostomatidae
Source: Rfam